This 98-nucleotide microRNA precursor is filed under the name Equus caballus (horse). Its description in RNAcentral is "mir-9058 microRNA precursor family". It matches the Rfam family "mir-9058 microRNA precursor family". The record is from Rfam by way of RNAcentral. Lineage: Eukaryota; Metazoa; Chordata; Mammalia; Perissodactyla; Equidae.
GUGGCUGCCGGUUGGGUGCUUUCUACUGGUGCUGUGCAGAGGCUGUCCCUGAGGCUGCUGUGAGCCUAUAGGGUUUCCCCCCUAGGCUACGGAGCUGG